UCUCUCUCCUGACUUUUUUCUUCUUUGUCUUCUGUCUUCUCUGUCUUCAACCAUUUGGCCCUCUGUCUGGGUGAGGGGUCAGCCUCUUGCCUUUAGUAAUCUCCUAUUUUUCUGCCACCAAACAUUUACACAGAUUCACACACCUCACAUACCUACAUUUUGCUACAGUGACUUUAUUAAUAAAUAAUUUUUAAAAGAGAACCCUGGGCAUCUCUUUGUAGCAAUCAGCAGAAAAACUGUUCCAUGAAUUGAGUGAAAGGAGGCUUCCUUUGAUGGGUAUCAGAUAUGUUUUUGGUUUGUGGUGGUGGUGGUGGGGGCAGGAUUGUUAAAGGGGGUAACCAGAAAAGAAUGGUGAAAACUCAACCCCAUUUCAUUAAACCUUCAUGAAUAUGCAAAAGAGGACUAAUUGCCCUCUUCAAAAACUAAUCAUUCUGAAUUUUACAAGUUGAAUUAUAAAAACCUGACACACUUAUUUUCCUCUUUUAUUAUAUUUGUAAGCAUUACUCCUUUCUGCAAAGAAAAUCAAAUCCUAUUUCUGUCAGCUGCUGUGGCUCCCCCUCCCCCUUUCUGCUGAGACCUGCUUCUUCCCUCUCUCUGCCUAGUGCUGCUGCAGCCUGGCCAUGUGUAUUAAUUGCCCUGUGAGACACGCUUGAAGUCAUUAGAAUUCCCCGUUCAGAACUAUUAUCUUGUGCCAUUGUGCCUUUGCAUUAUAUUUAUUUAAAUGCGCCUCUUCUGAAUUAGCUCAUUUUUAACAGCUAGCCAUGCCUGAAAUAUCGUCCCAUCCAAGCUGUUCUCAUAUCAUUUUUCUUUCCUUGGUGCAAGAGAUGUCUGCACCCAGCCUUCCAUUCCAACAGGGCAGCUUUGUUAGGAGGUAGAGCUGCUUUGUGCGGCAGCUUCCCAGGAAGAACUUGGUGCUCAGACUCUGUAUGCAAGAAGAUAUCCUCCAGGAAUGGAACGAGUUAGACUCUGAAUAGAGUGUCCUUCCAGGGGCCAUCUGCAUGUUUCCUACCAUUUGAUUUUCAUUGAAAAAUUUUCAUGAAGAAGUCAACACAAGCUUCUAGUCGUUUCUUGGCCCUUUGCAUUAAAGGACUCCCGAGUUGAUGCCAAGUUCUUACUGGCAGAUACUCGGAGCCAUCAGCUGUCUCCAGAGUCACCCUGACUCGGGCAGUGUGAUGAAUUAAAUUUUCUCUCAGGCCUCUGCUUCCCAGGGCUGCUAAGAAAGUUCUGACUGGCAUGGGAAUUUCUGUUUCUCUACUAAGUCUAAACUGACUGGCCUCCAUACCAAACUAGGUUGUUUUUUGUUGUUGUUGUUGUUGUUGUUGUUGCUUUGUUUUGUUUUUUCCUGUUUUCUCUUGUCUACCUCAUAUGUCCAUCUUUUCAUUCAGAACAGACAACAUAGUUUACAGCUGAGCAUACACUUUAUUAUUUGUUGGUGGUUUUGUUGUUGUUGGUGGUGUUUUAUUAAUAAUUAACUAAUUUUACAUCUCAACUGCAGUUUCCCCUCAUUCCUCUUCUCCCAGUCCUCCUUCUCCCCACCUUGUCUCCCCUCUCCCAUUCCAUUCCUCCUCCUUUGACUUCAUUAUUCUUACAACUCCAGACUUCAGAGAGAUUUUUCUCUGGACCAUUGCUGCUUAGCUCAUAGGAUCUCUGUGUCUCAUUUACAUAAAGGCACACCGCCAAAGACACUGCACCCCCUCCCUUAAGUGGGGGCUUGUGGUCUUCUCAUCACGCCUUCAUUAUUCCUUUUAUUUUGUGAGGAAACUGGAAUAAAAGGCCUUAAGCAAGGUUAAUAAUCUAGUGAGUAGUGAAGAAUGAAUUUGAGCACAGGUUCAUAUUAGAUUUAUUUUCUUACCACAACACCAAGCUGGCAGCAUUGGAAAUAAAGUCGAUAUGUUGGCAUGAAUAUUUGGCAGGGGAAAAUCAGGAAAGGCAUUAUGGACAGGGUGGGCCAGAUGUUUGAUUUAAAGCUGGAGAGAAGUGCUUCGUGAUACCGGGAGAAAGAUAAACACAUUUGUCUCUGUAAAAAUAGUAAGUUCAGAUGCCAGCACUCAUGGGGGUCUUGCAAGUCUUAUAAGAUGUAUUGAAGGACAGUCUUUGGGAAUGAUCAUGAAAGUUCUUCAAGUAUAGAAAUAUUUACACAGAAUGUCUAGUUUAUAACCAACCCUUUAACAAGGUUUAUGAAUGAAUGUGAGAUCUUGUUGCCAUGCCCUUGAAGGCAUGUAUGCUGCUAAGACAAGCCAAAGCUUGUACACAUGAGUCACCAGAUCUGAAGUCCAGCAUCAACAACACAUCACCAUCAUCUUGGCUGGCUCUGAAAACAUAUUCUCAAAGUGCUUUAUGAAGAAUGGCAGAGGAAGGAACUUACUGAUUCCUCUGAGUGUUGAAGAGCAUGAAGAGGGAGACCAGCAUGAGGAGAAAUUUUUCUGGCUUUUCAUUCCCCUCAAGAACUUGCUUUCCUUCUGAUCCCCCACAGUGGAGGUUACAGACUCCCUAAGAUCUUAAUAGAAAAGAGGGUAUCUCUGUGAGCUGAAACAGACUGGAAUUCAUUCAUGAGAAAAGAGCUCAACAUAUUGCCUGAUAGGGAUCUGGGAAAGGAAUGAACCCAGAAAUGGUUCUCCGUUGUCCUCCUGGAGUGAUUAUCAGGCUGAGGCAUGGGAGUGAGCUUGAGGGGAUACUGCACAUGUGACUUAUUCAGCUCAUCCCCCGAUGUAGUGCAUCAGGAACAUCUUUCUCUGGCUUCCCAAUUCUUAGAGCAGUACCACAGAGGUUACAUCCUGCUUGAUUUCCUCUUUAGGACUCAUCUGGCACCAUAGACAGCCUUCUGCUGGAGGAACGGAUACUUCCUUGCAACCUCCAUGUAUGAAAUCUCUGAAUAUGAUUUCAGAGAACUCAGAAGAGAGGUUAUGUCUGUGUAGAGAGACUCCUAUCCUUGUCUUUCUUCAAUCCAAGAAACUGUCCCUUACAGCUCCCAAAAUAUGGAUAUAGCCCUUUUCCUUUAUAAAUAGGUAUUUUUUUCAUUUAUCAAGCAAAUGAUCUGAAAAGCAAACCUCCUGGCUUGCUGUUGCAGCCUACAUGUUGAGACCUCCCUUGGCAAUGCCUCCCUUUCUAAGCCAAAGCCCACAGGAUUGUACCUUAGCCUAAGAUUACCCUGGGAUGGUACAGGUUGCUGAGAGCCCUGUCCUCCAGCAUUCACCCGAGAGGAUGAAAUGAAGUAGAUGAUAGGUGGUUUGAGCCAGAGCAAGAUUUUGUAAGAAGACUGGAGGGGCACUUGGCUCAGUCACUAAACACUUAGACCUAACCCUGACUGUGCAGGCCUGUAAUCCCAGGCAAAGACAAAGACAUCCAAGAUAAUAGUUAGGCAACCAGGCUAGCCAAAUCAAUGAGCUCUAGAUUCUGUGAAAACCCCUUUCUCAAAAUAUAAGGUGAACAGCCACAGAGAAAGACGCAGGGCAUUGACCUUGGCUUUCACACAUAUGCAUAUGCAUGUGGACGUGAACCCUCCCCAUCUACCUGCACACACACAAACAUGCUUAAAAAAAUAUGCACACAAGAGUAGAUCAGAGGAUGCAGACCCAGAGCUUUCAACCUCUGUGAGAAAAUAGAGACUCUAAUGGUUGCUGAAUGGUAGAUUCCUACCCCCUCACUUUCAAACACUAUUUUCAUUAGGCUGUCUGAUGACCCUAUUGGCUAAUUCGUUUCCUUCCCCAAAGACUGCUGAAUAAAGCAGGGACUUUAGAUGUGCCCAGUGACUUCACAUCACUGUUCUAUCUGGUUUAAUUUCUUCUUACAAGUCCUCUUCUGAUACCCUUUGCUCUCCCGCAUUCCCAGGUGCCUCACCAACCCAGCUGCUGGACUCAGCCCUCCUCUUCAUAGUUGGCCCAUGGCAACUCUUCCUGAUCCCUUCACCCUUUGAUUUGUCCAUUGACAGAGAAAUUUGGAGAUAAAUUUAUAGGUAGAAUAAACUUGCUUCAUGACUCAAAGCUAUUUAUGUAAAAUCAGCUCCUAACACCGGCCUGAUUUUCCAGCAAAAAACUCGGAUGUGGGAUGGAGUAAAUAAGUCUCUUUUAAAUCUCUAAAUGCUCACAUAUUUUCCCGAGGUCAGCAAAUGGUUGACUUAAGAGGGAGAUAUUGUGAUUUGUGCCCAAGAAACUUAAAGUAUGAGGGAUCAUAGCUUCAUCUCUAAAACGGAAAUAAUGAUUACAUCAACCUUCAUGGGGCUGGUGUUUGAAUUAAAAUGUGGUACUAUUUGUAACUGUUUUUUUCUUUUCUUUUCUUUUUUUACAACACUAUAAGCAUAAGACAUAUUGUUCGUGCUGGUUGGAGGCAGAUGUCUUGACAGGAAAUCUCUGGAGGUCGCUCUCAGUGUAAACAUCCCAUGAUUCUCUGCCUCAGACAGGGAGAUGAACUGCUGCAGCUGCUGCCCUUAGCAACGGGCCUGCUGAGCGGCAGGCUGCAAUUAACUAUAGCAGCCGCUAGAUGGCACGUCCCUUGAAAAAACUUCUGCCACAGAACAUCUAGUCCUUCCAGUCUUGGUUCAAACCUACAGAGUUGAGAAGACCAAAGCUUCUUGUAUAUCUAUGAAGAAGUUCCCUGUAAGGAGUUGGCCUUCAAGACUGGACACUAGGUACAUCUGGACAACAAGAACCAUCCUGUUGAUGACACAUGCUUCCUGUGGGAUAAGAUGGCUAAGAGAUGUCUGCUGAAUUUGAAGACCACUACCCAGUAAGACUCCAGCACCAGGCUAGAUCUUAAAUCGUGAUUAUAAAGAAACUUGUGCCUGUUGGGAUAUGUAAAACAUAGUUCUGAAGCAAUGGCUACCACUGUUGUCUAGUGUCAGCUGAAUGGGCACCACCUGGACUUUCUCAGAAGUGGAAUCGGCAGUAUCAGAGCCAGAUCUACAUAAAGAACUGGAGGAAGAAGAUACAGCAUGUGUUUCCACCAGACCUUCAGUUGGCUCUGAUCCCUGAUAGCCUUCAAGAACCCUGCUCUGGAGCUAGCCCACCCAUAGAGUGUGUCAGAGUCAAUAAAAAGUGUCUUCUCUGAA
Non-coding RNA from Rattus norvegicus (Norway rat), 5044 nucleotides. NCBI's taxonomy places the organism in Eukaryota, Metazoa, Chordata, Mammalia, Rodentia, Muridae. The record is from RefSeq and is a predicted model, not a curated record.